RNAcentral lists this long non-coding RNA (1074 nucleotides) under Homo sapiens (human). RNAcentral describes it as "PREDICTED lncRNA (TCONS_00151657)". The stretch from base 636 to 713 matches the Rfam family "ZEB2 antisense RNA 1 conserved region 4". The record is from RNAcentral. Lineage: Eukaryota; Metazoa; Chordata; Mammalia; Primates; Hominidae.
AUGAAAUAAAGAAAUGAAACUCGCUAAGCAGACAAAAACAGACAACUUUCUGCUUAGAAAACAGCCUUCUCGGUGGGAGAGGAUGAACUGCCAUGUCUAAGAGAAAGACUUGCCCCCGAAUUUGUAGUUUUGGCCAGAAAUGGUGAGAAGAAAAAGCAUGAAGAAGCCGCGAAGUGUGGGGGAGAAAAAGGUGGAAGCGAAGAAACAGCUCCCGGAGCAAACUGUACAAAAACCUCGCCAAGAGUGUCGGGAGGCAGGACCGUUAUUCCUGCAGAGCAGGAGAGAGACGAGAGACCCUGAAACACGCGCCACCUAUCUUUGUGGGGAGGGAUAAUUGAAGCGCCCUGAGCGUACCAGAGCCAGAAAAAAAAAUGCUGCAUGGGAGCUGCAUCUUAGGGCAUGUGUAUUAGGGUGUGUGCAUGAUGAAUUUCUGGACUGGAUCCCAAUAUUAAAAAGUAGUUUGGCAUUUUAAUAAAGGGUCUCUAAGUAAAUUAAAAUAGAACACUCGGUUGGCCGAUCUCUGAAUCUCUCUACACCUCGGGGAGACCUCACUACAAAGUAAGGGAGAGUGUGUAGGGAGGCAGGAGGAGAAACGAGAAAGGCCAUAGAGAAACUUAGCAGGGAAGGGAGAGCAUGAUAUUAAACGGCAUGGGGUCUAAGUUUUGGAGUAUAUAUUUUUUGAUAUUACAAUUAAAGUAAGAUUAAAAAGAAAAGACUCCACCUUUGCUCUGAAGGGAUUGGUUAUGCAAAUAUGGAAGGGAUUUCCUGGAGAAUACAGCUUUCUACUGUAUGGUUAAUUAAAUAAUCACUCAAAAGCUUCCAACGUGACGCUUCUGUCGUAAUCCAAUCAGGUUACAUAGGUCCUAAACAAGAAAGAUAUUUUCCACAUCUGGAAGUCAGCAAUUUAGCAAGUACUGCACAUUAUUAACCAAUUCAGAGCCCACUUCCCAGGGGAAUUUUUUUGAAGUUUAAGUGUUCUUAACCAAUGCUCUGCUGUUUUGUUAAUCAAAAAGCUGGUUUACACUGCACAUAAUUGGAACUAAUAUAGAAGUAAAUAAAGACAGCCAAAUUUGA